RNAcentral lists this ribosomal RNA (435 nucleotides) under Hirschmanniella oryzae. RNAcentral describes it as "SSU rRNA". It matches the Rfam family "Eukaryotic small subunit ribosomal RNA", at positions 584 to 1025 of the family's 1831-position model. Lineage: Eukaryota; Metazoa; Nematoda; Chromadorea; Rhabditida; Pratylenchidae. The record is from RNAcentral.
UCCAGCUCUCAAAAUGCAUAGAAUCAUUGCUGCGGUUAAAAAGCUCGUAGUUGGAUCUGUGCUGGCGGGUCGGUCCACCUUCGGGUGCGCACUGAUUUCGCCGGCUUUUCUGCUGUAUUUGGCCCAGUGCCUUUCAACGGGUGCUGUGUCCAGUGCAGCAAGUUUACCUUGAACAAAUCAGAGUGCUUCAAACAGGCGUUUCGCUUGAAUGUUCGUGCAUGGAAUAAUAGAAGAGGAUUUCGGUUCUAUUUUAUUGGUUUUAUAGACUGAGAUAAUGGUUAACAGAGACUAACGGGGGCAUUAGUAUUGCUACGUGAGAGGUGAAAUUCUUGGACCGUAGCAAGACUGACUACAGCGAAAGCAUUUGCCAAGAAAGUCUUCAUUAAUCAAGAACGAAAGUCAGAGGUUCGAAGGCGAUCAGAUACCGCCCUAGUU